RNAcentral lists this ribosomal RNA (460 nucleotides) under uncultured bacterium. Its description in RNAcentral is "partial 16S ribosomal RNA". It matches the Rfam family "Bacterial small subunit ribosomal RNA", at positions 338 to 795 of the family's 1533-position model. The record is from RNAcentral.
CCUACGGGUGGCAGCAGUGAGGAAUAUUGGUCAAUGGACGAGAGUCUGAACCAGCCAAGUAGCGUGAAGGAUGACUGCCCUAUGGGUUGUAAACUUCUUUUAUAUGGGAAUAAAACGUUCCACGUGUGGGAUUUUGUAUGUACCAUAUGAAUAAGGAUCGGCUAACUCCGUGCCAGCAGCCGCGGUAAUACGGAGGAGCCGAGCGUUAUCCGGAUUUAUUGGGUUUAAAGGGAGCGUAGGUGGAUUGUUAAGUCAGUUGUGAAAGUUUGCGGCUCAACCGUAAAAUUGCAGUUGAAACUGGCAGUCUUGAGGACAGUAGAGGUGGGCGGAAUUCGUGGUGUAGCGGUGAAAUGCUUAGAUAUCACGAAGAACUCCGAUUGCGAAGGCAGUUCACUGGACUGCAACUGACACUGAGGCUCGAAAGUGUGGGUAUCAAACAGGAUUAGAUACCCCUGUAGUC